Molecule: long non-coding RNA, 999 nt
Organism: Pecten maximus
Lineage: Eukaryota; Metazoa; Mollusca; Bivalvia; Pectinida; Pectinidae
Exons: 3
Source: RefSeq, a predicted model, not a curated record
GGGAAAUCCCCACGAUCUAGCAGAGGGUUACUUGAUUACGCACAUCAAUCGAUAUUUAUAUGCGAGUGUGUACAACGUGGAUACGUAUCGCGUAAUGACGGUCACCACAAAGGGUCCAUCUGGGGCUCGAAUUCGUUUUGAAAACAAAUAAGCACAGUAACCAUCGUUUAAAAUGAAAGAAAAGACAAACAUCUAGAAAAGACAAGUGGUCAGAGAAUAAAGAAAAGUAACACCAUUGACGAAAGGAGAAAGGAGACAACAGGAUAACUCAUGCCCUGACCGAGUGGCGCAGCUAGGCGAGUUCGUAUGUAUUGUAUAUUUACAUCAGCAUAUACUAUGAUAACUUUAAUUGUUUUACAUAAAAAAAAUCCUUAUAUUUUGAUCUCUUAGCACAAUAAUGCAAGGAACCUGCUACUUAACAGAGAUAGGGAAAAUGCCAAUGUUUUACCCCAUAACCCUAUUACCAGCACUGAUUGGCUGUUGACUUGCUGCUUGACUGGUGCGCAAUCAAAACAUUAUAUCUUUUAUUUGGAUAAGUGCCAGAUUCGUCGAUUCGCCGGUUUGUAGAUUUCCAUCUCACGGUAAGUGAGUUUUGAGAUAAGAUGUCUUCUUGCAAACUUUAUUUUACAACAAAUGCAAAACACCCGACCACCCACUCUUCUUGAUCAACAGGCUAGACUAUCUUACAGGAGUGUUUUUUCUUUCCCAUUGCGCCGCUAAAAUGAUGUGAAAAUAUAAUACGAUAAAUAAUGGAGGUAGGCUGUAAACCUCUAUAUCCAUAUCAAUCGAUAAACCGAUGAGUCGUUUGACUCAAAGUAAUAAACAACUGGAACUUGAACUGUAUCAAUUGAUGUUACAAUAAUUACAAUCAGACUGUUUCUUCACACAAGUUUUACAUAACUACAAACCGGUAUAUGCAUCAUUAAUUAGCUGAUUUUAUCAAAAUAACACUAACAAUUAAUCCUUUGCAACACGACAUGAAACACGACAUAUUGUUAU